Molecule: ribosomal RNA, 492 nt
Filed under: uncultured bacterium
Lineage: Bacteria
Description: partial 16S ribosomal RNA
Rfam family: Bacterial small subunit ribosomal RNA
Source: RNAcentral
AUUGAACGCUGGCGGCAUGCUUUACACAUGCAAGUCGAACGGUAACAGGCCUUCGGGUGCUGACGAGUGGCGCACGGGUGCGUAAUGCAUCGGAACGUACCCAGAGGUGGGGGAUAACGCAGCGAAAGCUGUGCUAAUACCGCAUGUGAUCUGAGGAUGAAAGCGGGGGACCGAGCAGCAAUGUUUGGCCUCGCGCCUUUGGAGCGGCCGAUGUCGGACUAGCUAGUUGGUGGGGUAAAGGCCUACCAAGGCGACGAUCCGUAGCUGGUCUGAGAGGACGACCAGCCACACUGGGACUGAGACACGGCCCAGACUCCUACGGGAGGCAGCAGUGGGGAAUUUUGGACAAUGGGCGCAAGCCUGAUCCAGCAAUGCCGCGUGCGGGAAGAAGGCCUUCGGGUUGUAAACCGCUUUUGGCAGGAACGAAACGGUGUCCGCUAAUACCGGGCGCUAAUGACGGUACCUGCAGAAUAAGCACCGGCUAACUACGUG